This 58-nucleotide transfer RNA is filed under the name Dipodomys ordii (Ord's kangaroo rat). It matches the Rfam family "tRNA", at positions 8 to 63 of the family's 71-position model. From Rfam's summary of the family: Transfer RNA (tRNA) molecules are approximately 80 nucleotides in length. Their secondary structure includes four short double-helical elements and three loops (D, anti-codon, and T loops). The record is from Rfam by way of RNAcentral. Lineage: Eukaryota; Metazoa; Chordata; Mammalia; Rodentia; Heteromyidae.
UGGCUCAGUGGUAGAGCGCUUGCCUUUCAUGCAUGAGGCCCUGGGUUCAAUUCCUCAG